AAUGUAACACAUUACAAAUACUUUAACCAUUUUGGCAUUCCCUAAGUCAACAGUUCUUUACGUAAGGAUACCAAAAACAAAAAAAGGCAGAUCUGCUAAGUUAUAUUACAAAUGAUUUCAAUUUAAUAGUAGACAUUUUGUGCAAAGAAUUAUACUAAAUGUAUUUCAUCCCUAAAUCAUGUAAUUGGUGCCGAUAAGAAUUCUCAACAUCUUAAAAGGAAUAAAAAUAAAUUUCCACAGGAAGUAUAUCCAAAUUCACAAGAAAAACACAUUUCUUAACAGUUUCUCUAAAAUAGAAUAUAUAUUAAAGAAUGGUAAAACCCAGAAAUAAACACAUACUAGAGCUAUAGAUUUGAAACCACUGUCAGUUAAAAGGGCAUUCACACAGAUAUCCAAAGAUAGGUUCAUGUCACUUAAGGCAUGGCCAUCUGUGUGUUACCACUGUGUCAGCCAAAAGAGAUGUCUUCCCUUUCUGUCAGAGGACCUCUUAUUAAGGGACUUAUCCCUUUUCUUACAAAGCGAAUCAGAUAUUUAAUCACAAUCAUAACUGAUAUAAGUAACAUAACUCCCAAUUUUGAAAGAAAAAAAAUGAAUUCAGACAUUCCACAAAAUAAAAACCUAACAAUUCAAAAUUUACAAAAUCUUAAACAUUGUUAACCCUGAUCUAUGAGAAUAAAAGUGACUUUUUCUAAAAUUCUAAUUCACAAUAUGGAACUUGAUAAUAGGAAAAAAAGACAAACACUGUAUGCCAGUGCAACAUACAAAAGUAUUAGAUAACAGACAUUCCCAAAUAGUCACUCCAAUAUAAUAAAUGAAGUAUUAGAUAACAGACAUUCCCAAAUGAUCACUCCAACCCCAUUUUAAAGGUAUGUGAAAAUACAUAUACAAUACAUGCCUCAUUCUUACCAAAUUAUCGAUGAGGCCACUAUUAACCCAUGAUAAUUACCAUUACCUCCUAGGGAUAAUAUUUAAAGACAAGUAAUCAAUGAUGGAUGCACAAAAAAAAAAAAAA
Cercocebus atys (sooty mangabey) is the source of this 1012-nucleotide long non-coding RNA. RefSeq lists it as uncharacterized. The record is from RefSeq and is a predicted model, not a curated record. The transcript has 2 exons. NCBI's taxonomy places the organism in Eukaryota, Metazoa, Chordata, Mammalia, Primates, Cercopithecidae.